Molecule: RNA transcript, 1786 nt
Organism: Dipodomys spectabilis (banner-tailed kangaroo rat)
Lineage: Eukaryota; Metazoa; Chordata; Mammalia; Rodentia; Heteromyidae
Gene: Exo5
Gene name: exonuclease 5
Exons: 3
Source: RefSeq, a predicted model, not a curated record
UGUGCUGGCUCUAGGACAGAGGCAAUUGUCACCUAGGGUCUGAGGUGGACGGUCACCUGUGCACUAUGGAUAUGAGAGAAGGAAACAUCGGGACGCGAAGGAAUGGUCAGGGCCUCCUUGUUUAGUCCAGAGCUGUGCCAUGGCGGAAGCUAGGGAAGAGGAAACUGUGUCAGCAGAAGCCUCGGGGUUCUCAGACUUGAGUGACUCAGAGUUCCUAGAGUUUCUGGACCUGGAAGAUGAUGAAAAAUUAUGUGCUUCACUUAGCAAGCCCGGUUCUUCCUCUGAACUCCCUGAGAAGGAUGAUAAGCCUCUAAGCUUACAGAACUGGAAAAGAGAAUUGGAUGUCUUAUCACCCAUGGAGAGAUUUCACCUAAAAUAUUUAUAUGUCACUGACCUGACUACUCAGAGCUGGUGUGAAUUGCAAAUGGCAUAUGAGAAGGAGCUUCCUGGUGAUUUGAAACCAGAGAAGGCAGCUGUUUUGAACACUGGUGCUAGCAUCCACCUGGCUAGAGAACUAGAACUUCAUGAUCUUGUGACUAUCUCUGUCACCACUAAAGAAGAUGCUUGGGCAGUUAAGUUUCUGAACAUACUAUCAAUGAUUCCUACCCUGCAGUCAGAAGGGCGCAUCAGAGAAUUUCCAGUGUUUGGGGAAGUGGAAGGUAUGUUUCUUGUUGGAGUGAUUGAUGAGCUGCACUAUACAGCCAAAGGAGAAUUAGAACUGACAGAACUCAAGACACGCAGGCGCCCUAUGCUCCCUCUGGCAGCCCAGAAAAAGAAAGACUGUUUUCAAGUCAGUCUAUACAAAUGUAUCUUUGAUGCCAUGGUGCAAGGGAAAGUGACUCCAGCAAGCCUAAUCCAGCACACUAAAUUGUGUCCAGACAAGCCACUGGGUCCUUCAGUGCUGAGGCAUGCCCAGCAGGGAGGCUUUUCUGUGAAGUCUUUGGGUGACCUCUUGGAGCUAGUCUUCUUAUCUCUCACACUAUCUGACCUCCCAGUUAUUGAUAUCCUGAAGAUUGAGUAUAUUCAUCAAGAAACUGCCACUGUGCUGGGUACAGAUACUGUAGCCUUUGAAGAAAAAGAAGUGAGAGGCAAAGUUCAGCACUACAUGGCUUAUUGGAUGGGACACCGAGAGCCUCAAGGGGUUGAUGUAGAAGAGGCUUGGAAAUGUCGGACAUGCAACUAUAAAAACAUUUGUGAGUGGAGGAGGAGUGGUGGAGUGCUCAGCUCUGCACUGGGGCCCCAACACAAAAAAGCCAGAUGAACUCAAGCUCUGCUUUCAGCGAUGUCCGUCAUCCUCUUCUAAUGUAUCUGAGUAGUGGGCCACUCUCUGACCUGCUUUUGAGGAUAUUAAUUUUUUUAUAUUUCUGCAACUUUUGAUCAUAUUCAAAUCUAGGACUGAGGCUCAAGGAUGAGUAGGAGAGAUUUGAGGUACACUGUUCCUCGAGCUUUGAUAUGUAUUUCUAAGAUUCUCAUCAUGUCUGGAAGAAAGGUAUCCUGUAGCAAUUGUUUUCCUAAGAAAAAAAUUUCAGUUUCUAAUAAAUCUUCCUUUUGCUCAGUGAAAUUCUUUGUUUUUCAAGUACUUUCUAUAUUUCUAUGUUUUACAUAAAAUGUAAUGCUAUCUAGGAGAGUUGAACUAAUAGUUUUAUUUUGUUUUCAUAACCUCAGCCCUUCAAUGAUGCCCACUGUAUAAUUGUAGCCUAUUACAAACCCUUAAAUUCAUACAUAAAUAUUUUGGAAUAGAGUUGAUAGAAGAGCAAAUCAAGAAUUUAAGCAGAAUAUUUUCUUU